UGGGGAAUUUUCCGCAAUGGGCGAAAGCCUGACGGAGCAAUGCCGCGUGGAGGUGGAAGGCCUACGGGUCGUCAACUUCUUUUCUCGGAGAAGAAACAAUGACGGUAUCUGAGGAACUAAGCAUCGGCUAACUCUGUGCCAG
Molecule: ribosomal RNA, 142 nt
Filed under: uncultured bacterium
Lineage: Bacteria
Description: partial 16S rRNA
Rfam family: Bacterial small subunit ribosomal RNA
Source: RNAcentral